This 486-nucleotide ribosomal RNA is filed under the name uncultured bacterium. RNAcentral's name for it is "partial 16S ribosomal RNA". It matches the Rfam family "Bacterial small subunit ribosomal RNA", at positions 30 to 507 of the family's 1533-position model. The record is from RNAcentral.
AUUGAACGCUGGCGGCAUGCCUUACACAUGCAAGUCGAACGGCAGCGCGGACUUCGGUCUGGCGGCGAGUGGCGAACGGGUGAGUAAUACAUCGGAACGUACCCUGUUGUGGGGGAUAACUAGUCGAAAGAUUAGCUAAUACCGCAUACGACCUGAGGGUGAAAGUGGGGGGCCGGAAACGGCCUCAUGCAGCAGGAGCGGCCGAUGUCUGAUUAGCUAGUUGGUGGGGUAAAGGCCCACCAAGGCGACGAUCAGUAGCUGGUCUGAGAGGACGAUCAGCCACACUGGGACUGAGACACGGCCCAGACUCCUACGGGAGGCAGCAGUGGGGAAUUUUGGACAAUGGGGGCAACCCUGAUCCAGCAAUGCCGCGUGUGUGAAGAAGGCCUUCGGGUUGUAAAGCACUUUUGUCCGGAAAGAAAUCGCGCUGGUUAAUACCUGGCGUGGAUGACGGUACCGGAAGAAUAAGCACCGGCUAACUACGUG